Molecule: small nucleolar RNA, 77 nt
Organism: Bos grunniens (domestic yak)
Lineage: Eukaryota; Metazoa; Chordata; Mammalia; Artiodactyla; Bovidae
Gene: U3
Rfam family: Small nucleolar RNA U3
About the family: Small nucleolar RNAs (snoRNAs) are involved in the processing and modification of rRNA in the nucleolus. There are two main classes of snoRNAs: the box C/D class, and the box H/ACA class.
Source: Ensembl
AAGACUAUAUUAUCAGGGAUCAUUUCUACAAUUUAUUACUAGAGAAGUUUCUUUCAACAUGUGGAGCACCACCCAGU